This 253-nucleotide ribosomal RNA is filed under the name uncultured bacterium. Its description in RNAcentral is "partial 16S ribosomal RNA". It matches the Rfam family "Bacterial small subunit ribosomal RNA", at positions 524 to 776 of the family's 1533-position model. The record is from RNAcentral.
UACGUAGGGUCCGAGCGUUGUCCGGAAUUACUGGGCGUAAAGAGCUCGUAGGUGGUUUGUCGCGUUGUUCGUGAAAACUCACAGCUUAACUGUGGGCGUGCGGGCGAUACGGGCAGACUUGAGUACUGCAGGGGAGACUGGAAUUCCUGGUGUAGCGGUGGAAUGCGCAGAUAUCAGGAGGAACACCGGUGGCGAAGGCGGGUCUCUGGGCAGUAACUGACGCUCAGGCACGAAAGCGUGGGGAGCAAACAGG